GAAAAAUAUAGUAAAGUAACUACUAAAACCAAAUAGGUCAAUAAAAUUCUCCCAGUGACUGACGACUCGUGAGUUUGCAGGGCUCAUAGGAUGGAGAAAAUCCCUCUCUUCAUUCAAUUAUUUCAUUGACGAGUUUUCACGAUGUAAGUCAGUUGAAAAUGAAGAAAAAUUAUUAUAUGAAUGUUAAUCAGGGUGGGUCGAGGCGAAUUAAAA
RNAcentral lists this unclassified non-coding RNA (213 nucleotides) under Hevea brasiliensis (rubber tree). The record is from RNAcentral. Lineage: Eukaryota; Viridiplantae; Streptophyta; Magnoliopsida; Malpighiales; Euphorbiaceae.